UACAGAGGUCCCAAGCGUUGUUCGGAUUCACUGGGCGGAAAGGGUGCGUAGGCGGUCGGGUAAGUCUGAUGUGAAAUCUCACAGCUUAACUGUGAAACUGCAUUGGAUACUAUCCGGCUCGAGGAAUGGAGGGGAGACUGGAAUACUUGGUGUAGCAGUGAAAUGCGUAGAUAUCAAGUGGAACACCAGUGGCGAAGGCGAGUCUCUGGACAUUUCCUGACGCUGAGGCACGAAAGCCAGGGGAGCAAACGGG
RNAcentral lists this ribosomal RNA (253 nucleotides) under uncultured bacterium. RNAcentral describes it as "partial 16S ribosomal RNA". It matches the Rfam family "Bacterial small subunit ribosomal RNA", at positions 524 to 776 of the family's 1533-position model. The record is from RNAcentral.